AAACCAGGAUUAGAUACCCUAUUAUUUUAAUUGUAAAUUUUAAUGCCUGAUUAUUAAUAGAUUAUUUUCUUGAAAAUUAAAGAUUUUGGCGGUAUUUUAGUCUAUUCAGAGGAACCUGUCCUGUAAUUGAUAGCCCACGAUUUAAUUGACUUUUUCUUGUGGUUUGUAUAUCGUCGUGGUUUGAAUAUUUUAUAAGGAUUUUAAUGUUCAAUAAUUAUUAUUUUAA
This 226-nucleotide ribosomal RNA is filed under the name Alestrus dolosus. Its description in RNAcentral is "partial 12S ribosomal RNA". The record is from RNAcentral. Lineage: Eukaryota; Metazoa; Arthropoda; Insecta; Coleoptera; Elateridae.